GUCUACGGCCAUACCACCCUGAACGCGCCCGAUCUCGUCUGAUCUCGGAAGCUAAGCAGGGUCGGGCCUGGUUAGUACUUGGAUGGGAGGCCUGAUACAGUUAUUA
This 106-nucleotide ribosomal RNA is filed under the name Mustela putorius furo (domestic ferret). The record is from RNAcentral. Lineage: Eukaryota; Metazoa; Chordata; Mammalia; Carnivora; Mustelidae.